Molecule: ribosomal RNA, 443 nt
Filed under: uncultured bacterium
Lineage: Bacteria
Description: partial 16S ribosomal RNA
Rfam family: Bacterial small subunit ribosomal RNA
Source: RNAcentral
CCUACGGGUGGCAGCCGUGGGGAAUCUUUGGCAAUGGGCGCAAGCCUGACCCAGCAACGCCGCGUGAAGGAAGAAGGCUUUCGGGUUGUAAAAUUCUUUUCCCAGGGACGAAGAAAGUGACGGUACCUGAGGAAUAAGCCACGGCUAACUACGUUCAAGCAGCCGCGGUAAUACGUAGGUGGCAAGAGUUAUCCGGAUAUAUUGGGUGUAAAGGGCGUGUAGGCGGGAGCGCAAGUCAGAUGUGAAAACUAAGGGCUCAACCCUGAGCCUGCAUUUGAUACUGUGUUACGUGAGUGCUGGAGAGGCAAGCGGAAUUCCGGGUGUAGCGGGGAAAGGCGUAGAUAUACGGAGGAACACCAGUGGCGAAGGAGGAUUGCUGGACAGUAACUGACGCUGAGGCGCGAAAGCGUGGGGAGCAAACAGGAUUAGAUACCCCUGUAGUC